RNAcentral lists this ribosomal RNA (562 nucleotides) under Lithobates forreri (Forrer's grass frog). RNAcentral's name for it is "Rana forreri (Forrer's grass frog) partial 16S ribosomal RNA". It matches the Rfam family "Bacterial large subunit ribosomal RNA", at positions 1811 to 2604 of the family's 2925-position model. The record is from RNAcentral. Lineage: Eukaryota; Metazoa; Chordata; Amphibia; Anura; Ranidae.
AAACAUCGCCUCUUGAAAAAUUAUAAGAGGUCCAGCCUGCCCAGUGACUUAGUUCAACGGCCGCGGUACCCUAACCGUGCGAAGGUAGCAUAAUCACUUGUUCUUUAAAUGGGGACUUGUAUCAACGGCACCACGAGGGCUGCACUGUCUCCUUUCUCCAAUCAGUGAAACUGAUCUCUCCGUGAAGAAGCGGGGAUUAGACUAUAAGACGAGAAGACCCCAUGGAGCUUCAAACUCAUUAUACAACUCUGUGCUCUAUGCCCGCAACACAAGAGCCAUGUAUAGUAGUUUUGGGUUGGGGUGACCUCGGAGUAUAACUUAGCCUCCAAAUCAAACAGGUUAACACCUUUAUCCAUGAGAAACACCUCUAAGAAUUAUUAAAUUAAUGUAUUUGACCCGAUAAUCGAUCAAUGAACCAAGUUACCCUGGGGAUAACAGCGCAAUCUACUUCAAGAGUUCCUAUCGACAAGUGGGUUUACGACCUCGAUGUUGGAUCAGGGUAUCCCAGUGGUGCAACCGCUACUAAUGGUUCGUUUGUUCAACGAUUAAAACCCUACGUGAU